RNAcentral lists this long non-coding RNA (1184 nucleotides) under Numida meleagris (helmeted guineafowl). RNAcentral describes it as "lncRNA (ENSNMEG00000010033.1)". The record is from RNAcentral. Lineage: Eukaryota; Metazoa; Chordata; Aves; Galliformes; Numididae.
GCUGCUCAGAGAGGUUGUGGAUGCCCUGUCCCUAGAGGUGUUCGAUGCCAGGUUGUGUGGGGCCCUGGGCAGUCUGGUCUAGUAUUAGAUGUGGAGGUUGGCAGCCCUGCCUGUGGCAAGGGAUUGGAACUUGAUGAUCCUUGAGGUCCCUUCCAACCCAAGCCAUUCUGUGAUUCUAUGAUUUCUCUGAACCCCACAUCUUUGACUGGCUGCAGCUUUGGAGUUUUUACUGGGAUGCUUUUUUUGUGGGGUGAAACACCUGUUGAUUCAAAUGGAUGAACCAAGAGUGAGCUGAACCUACAGCUGGGAUGGAAUUUACCAACUUCGCUAGCAAGGGCAAAGACCCUUCUAACUACUGUACAUCUGCAAACUUGAAGACUUAGAGCUCCAAUAUCAUAUUUUUGUAUUUACCUAAAGUAAUGGCUACAUGAGCUUUUGCAAGCAGAAGUGAGCUUCUUCCUCCAUCUUUACUCUGAGCUGAGUGGAAGCCAUAUAGCAAACUAGCAUGGCAUUAGGCCUAAACUAAUAUAGCCUGCUUCCCAGCUGAACUUUAUUAGCUUGGGCUUGGUGCCCUACUAACCACAGCUGUGGGUUUCUUGUCAGCUUGGAGUACAGGCAAAACAAGCUCGUGCCUCUUUAUAGGUAGUCCUAUAGGAUUUUAAUGCUUGUGAAUAGUGCUAGCGUUAGAAAGUUGAAUGUUUCUUCUUUCUCUUCUCAACAAAUUACAGAAGAAAAAAGAUGGAUGCAUUUUUUUGUUCAUCCUUCAAGGGGAGGAGAUGGAGGCUCACAUAUCAGUGAGAAAAAAAGCUAUUCAAGGAGUGUUUAUAUUCCUGUUAUCUACUGUAGUCAGUCCUUGAACAUCAAGUCUGGGACCCCUGAAAAGGAGCAGGUGGCGCAGGCUUUCAGAGGGGAAAGAAGGAACCAGGACCACUGAGUCAGCAAACUUUAUUUCCCCUUGUUGUUGUGUUUGGAAGUCCAAGGUAUAUUGUUAUUGCUACGUGACCUGGCUGUCACGAGUUAUUUCACCAUCCCAUGCUUCCUGCUAAUCAGUCAGUGGAGAGCUGCACUGGGACUGAUAACAAUGAGAACAGCAUAGAGGCAAAUUAAGAAAAUACUUUGAAUGGACCGCUUGAAUGAAAACAUGCUGCAUGUAAUUGGCUGUCACUAAUUAAAGAUGUGGAGGU